UACGUAGGUGGCAAGCGUUGUCCGGAAUUAUUGGGCGUAAAGCGCGCGCAGGCGGUCCUUUAAGUCUGAUGUGAAAGCCCACGGCUCAACCGUGGAGGGUCAUUGGAAACUGGGAGACUUGAGUGCAGAAGAGAAGAGUGGAAUUCCACGUGUAGCGGUGAAAUGCGUAGAGAUGUGGAGGAACACCAGUGGCGAAGGCGACUCUUUGGUCUGUAACUGACGCUGAGGCGCGAAAGCGUGGGGAGCAAACAGG
This 253-nucleotide ribosomal RNA is filed under the name uncultured bacterium. RNAcentral describes it as "partial 16S ribosomal RNA". It matches the Rfam family "Bacterial small subunit ribosomal RNA", at positions 524 to 776 of the family's 1533-position model. The record is from RNAcentral.